AGAAGAAGUACAGCUGCCUGACUCGCUUUGAACCGCACGUCAGCUGAUGCAGACUCACCUCUUCCUGGUUGUUAACAGAAGGAGCCAAAAGAGCUCGAGGCCCAAACCAUAGCAACAAGUUGGCAGUUGUCAGUCAGACAUGAAAAAGGGGGAACGUGUGAAUGUGAACAAGCGCCCCUGAUGGAUUCGAACAGGUGAUUUUUGGUGUCACUUGUUAAACAUUCGGCUGCCAUGUAUUGUACUUUUUAAAGAUGUUCAGAAGGCUUGUUGGAGCGUCAGUCAGUGAAGCUGCUGUUUGAUCACAGACUCAUUAACUUCAGGUUAAAGCGCCGGAAGGCAGCCGCCGCUGUCUUCUGUCCGGCAGAAUAAUUCACCCUCUCAUCUUCUCAAAGAUCUGAAGAGGAGUCUGUAGGCAGAUGGGGAGUGCAAUGACCCUCCCUGACAGGCUAUAGGCCCACAUGCCCGGGGCCCAUUGCUCCUGGCAGCCGGAAAAAAGGGCAGGAUAAGGAAAGGGAAAGUGCAGACUGUAUGAAAGGAGCGCUCCUAUCAUGUGUCAGGCAUGCACCGUGCAGAGGUUAUGCUGAUUUCAGGAGUAUCAAACAUUUGAAGAUACCUUAAAAAACUUUUUAAAAUGAGCAAAUGCAAUGGUGUAUGUCCGGCUCUAAAGGCUUAAAACUUGCUACAGCAAAUGAAAUAUGCCACAAACUGAUCUUUUGUCACAUGAAAUGUUUUACUCUGAGGAUUUUAUCUUAUCUAUUUGCUUUUGUAUGACCUUAAACAGUCGUUGUAAGAAGUGAAGGACGGAUACUUUCUAAUAUUCAACUGAAAUGAAUGUUAAAACCUCGUCACACGUACAGACUCAGAGAGUCGAGAGACUUCCUAAACAAUAAUCUUGACAUAACGAAAUGGACGUGUGUUAAAAAAGAUUUCUUUUUGUAUCAUUCCGAUUUAUCUUUUCAUUUCAUUUUUGAAUAAAUCAACAGGCACAUCCGUUAAAUUGAAUGCAUUUUAUUUGAAAUAAUUCCAAAAGAUUAAUUGAAUUGAUUAGAAGGUGAAGGUGUGAGAGAGACAUCAGAUUUUAAUACACAGAACUGUUAUCUGUCUUAUUGACAAAGUCACAUAUAAAGGAUGCGAUGGAUUGA
Long non-coding RNA from Cottoperca gobio, 1142 nucleotides. RefSeq lists it as uncharacterized. Lineage: Eukaryota; Metazoa; Chordata; Actinopteri; Perciformes; Bovichtidae. The record is from RefSeq and is a predicted model, not a curated record. The transcript is spliced from 5 exons.